UACUUUUAAGUCAUUAUUCUGAACCGAGGGGCAAAACUAGUAUACUUUGUUUGGGGAUGAAUCUGAAAAGAAUACCAAGUCAGAUUCAGAGGUCCUUGGAGGCCAAGAUAUUUGUGAAUGUAGUAGCAAUGACUGGGGAUAUUGUUAAGCCAUCGUAGCUUAGAAUGUACUUGAUCCCAUGCCAGGAGUGUUGAACUUUCAUCCUGAGUCUAUAGCCACCUCUUAAAGAAUUGAUUUAAUUUUGCCUGCUUACAAAUAAUUAUGUAAUUGUGCUUGAGUAUUAAACAGAGAAAAAUAAUUCAGGCCUCACUUUAGUGAAAGCUGAAUACAUUUAAGAUAUUCAGACAUACAAUGAUAAGAAAGCAAGAGAUAUGAAGGAAAACCCCACUUUAUUAAAAAGGGGAAGCCAUUAAAAGGAAAGAUACAAACAGUAUCCACCCAACAGAUGAGGGCUUCCUGAGGAGAUAGGUUGAUGGCCAUGUUUUUGGCAUUUAGUUGCUUUCUGCUGAGUAAAUUAAUUAGAUAGUAGGAAAAAUGAAUGGCAGUUAAGAUCUCUGAGUGUCUUUCUGGUGCUAAGCAUCCAGGGAUCCAGGGCUCCUUCGCCCUGGUUUUGAAGCUUUGGUACCAGAAAGGGAGGAUGCCGUUGUUAAGGAGGGGUAGCCUUGAGAGGACUCGGAAAAGAGUAAGCGUUGAGCUGUGAGUGAGCUCGGCUCCUCCUCCAUUGCCCAUAAUAGCAUUUCCCACCACCACCUCAUCCAGUCAUGCAUGCCUCACCAGGCCUGCUAUUUCACAAAGAAAACAGUAGCCAUUAGACAACUCCCUCAACUUCCUGCUUCCAGACCCACAGGCUCACCUCCACCCACACCCACCCUCCUGAUGUCUGUGGAACAGUUCUGUCACUGCUGGGACUUCGGAUGUGGCCGAAAUUUGGUCAUCCUGAACAUUCAAAAAUCCCUGGCAUAAACCAUCUGAUUCAUCAAUGCUAGAUUGUGUACCUACCCCUUGCUGCCCAUGGGAGAGGGAACUUCUGGUUCCAGCUUUUGUAGUGGGAGAGAGGCCUGACUCCUACCAACACUUGCAAAAUGAGGGUUUCUCAGAAAAAGGAAGGGAGUUGGAUGUGGAUCGCCAAAACAACAGCAAAUAUUGACCACACCACCGGACUGCUCCGUCCAACCCUAGUGUUGCCCUUUUACUUACUUCCUUGUUCCCUCAACAAAUGCUGUUUCCUUUGUUGGGAUCACUCUCUUGUCGCUCCUCAGGGGGGUCUUGUGGCCACCUGGACCCCUUUUGGAGUAGAUGCUCUUUCAGAGAGUUCCCCCAACCCCCUCUACUCCCCUCAGUUGCACCACGUUUCAUUUGUUACAGUUAUUAGUUUUCUUUACCUUUGCCUCCAUUUCAUCAUGAGCUUUCUGACAGCAAGAUUUGUAUUAUUUUUUCUGAAUCUCUGGUGCUUGACCUAGGGCCUCUCAUAUAGGAGGGCCUAAUAAAGCAUUAGCAAAUUAAUUAAUU
Molecule: long non-coding RNA, 1509 nt
Organism: Myotis brandtii (Brandt's bat)
Lineage: Eukaryota; Metazoa; Chordata; Mammalia; Chiroptera; Vespertilionidae
Exons: 2
Source: RefSeq, a predicted model, not a curated record